This 1448-nucleotide long non-coding RNA is filed under the name Gossypium barbadense (sea-island cotton). RNAcentral's name for it is "long non-coding RNA (GBAR_LNC021116)". The record is from RNAcentral. Lineage: Eukaryota; Viridiplantae; Streptophyta; Magnoliopsida; Malvales; Malvaceae.
UUCACCCUCUAAUUCAUUUUAUACUAUCUUGGGUGAUUUUUCAAAUUCACGUCACUGUGCUGCCUGAAUUCUGUUUCUUUGCAAAAUUUUAUCCUUUCAUGAUUUCCAUGCAUAAUUUAUCACCUAAUCUUUCAUAACAGCAAACACCUUCAUCCUUAAUCAUUUUAAUAACCAUACAUCAUCAAAUACUUACACAUCACUCAUUAGCAAAAUCAUCACUACAAACAUACAAAAUAACUAAAUCCCUAUACAUGCCAUAACUUAAACGUGUUUCAAUAUAAAAUACCGAGCAGUUGUAGUUGAUAGUGUGGACGAUCUCCGACUUCUUUAGGAUCCUUGAAGUAGCUUAGCAAUACUAUAAGAGAAAGAGAAAUAAAAGAAGUAAGCAUAAAGCUUAGUAAGUUUACUAGCAAAUAAAUAACAAUAUUUAACUUAAAUAAUUAAACUCAGUGUCUAUAUCUCUAGUUUACUCUUUAGUUAAUCUCAUACUAGUUCUCUUACUUGUUUACUUAGAAUAUUUGUGUGCAUAACUUACUCAAUCUCUGCUGCAUCGUUGAACAUCAAUUGAUAGUAUAAUAAGUUCUUAAGUCUUACAAGUUACCUGAGCUUGCCAUUUAUGCUUUAAACUGAACUUUCAUGAACAUGAUUCGUUUACAAGCCCGUUGAACUACAUUGGAAUAAUAAGGAUACUCAGGUCUCUUCGAUAAUAACAUGCCAAAGCCAUGUCCCAGACAUGGUCUUACAUGGGAUGUUCUCGUGAUGGUGCCCAUGCCAUGUCCCAGACAUGGUCUUAUAGGGGACCUCUCAUCUCGGUGCCAACGCCAUGUCCCAGACAUGGUCUUACAUGGGACCUCUCGUCUCGGUGCCCAUGCCAUGUCCCAGACAUGGUCUUACAGGGGACCUCUCAUGAUCUUAAGGAUGCCAAUGCCAUGUCCCAGACAUGGUCUUACAUGGGAUCUCUUUACCCAAAUGUCAUGACAUUCGUAUCCAGUACCAUCCUUAUGUAUCAACGGGACUUUUAAAUUUUAAUUCUCUAUCAUUUCAUGCUUGGAUCAUCAUCAAAUAAAUUCAUAAAAUAAAUUCAUAAUUGCUGGAAAUUAAUAGCAUUAAUAAUAAAUAUUGAAAUAUUGCAUUUAUUUACCGUAAACUUACCUCGGUACCAAUUAUAGCCAAAUUCACCAACUUAGUCUUCAACUUUAUUCUUCCCUUUGUCUAACCUCGAGUUUUGUACUUCUUGAUCAAAUUACUUUGAACCUUAAAACCCCAAAUUUCCCUUUUUCUUUUCUUUUCUUUUCUUUCUUUCCUUCCUUCCUUCUCUGUUUCGUUUUGCUCUCUGUUUCUUUCUUUCUCCCUUCUCUGUUUUGUUUUGCUCUCUGUUUCUUUUAUUUCUUUCUUUGUCAUAUAUAUAAUAAUAUAAUAUAAUAAUAUAAUAUAAUAUAAUAUAAUAU